UGUAGAUGUACAUGAUGGUGAGAUUCACUGUGGUAUAUUUGUAUAUAUACAUAGGAAAAUUAGGUUAGAAUUGAUCUACUGUCUUGCCCUAUCCCAUCCCUCCUCUCUUUGCCUAAUUCCCCAUUGUCUAGUCCACCAAUCUUUCUUCUAUUCUUUUUUCAUCUACCCUCCUUACUUUUUAUUUGCUUUCACAUAUCAGAGAAAACAUUUUACCUUUGACUUUUUGGGACUGACUCAUUUCACUUAGCAUGAUAGUCUACAGUUCCAUCCAUUUCCUUGGCAAAUGCCAUAAAGUCAUUCUUUAUGGCUAAGUAAUAUUACAUUGUGUAUAUAUACCACAUUUUCUUUUUCCAUUUAUCUGUUGAAGGGCACCUAGGUUGGUUCCAUAGUUUGGCUAUUAUGAAUUGUAUGCUAUAAACAUUAAUGUGGCUGUGUUGCUGUAGUAUGCUAAUUUUAAGUCCUUUGGAUAUAUACCAAGGAAUGGAAUAGCUGGAUCAUUUCUAGCCUUAUUUUUUUCUUUAGUUGUAGACGGACACAACAUCUUUAUUUAUUUUUAUGUGAUGUGAGGCUCGAACCCAGUGCCUCACACGUGUGAGGCAGGCACUCUACCACUGAGCUACAGCCCCAGCCCUCAUUCCUAGCUUUUUGAGGAAGCUCCAUAGUGCUUUCCAGAAUGGUUGCACCAAUUUGCAGUUUCACCAGCAAUGUAUGAGUAUACCUAUUUGCCCACAUCCUCGCCAACAUUUAUUGUUAUUUGUCUUGAUAAUUGCCAUUCUGACUGAAGUGAGAUGAAAUCUCAAUGUAGUUUUAGUUUGCAUUUCUCUAAUUUGUAGAGAUGUUGAACAUUUUCAUGUAUUGACCACUUGUAUUUCUUCUUUUGAAAAGUUCCUGUUUAAUUCUUUUGCCCAUUUAUUGAUUGGGUUAUUUGUCUUUUGGUGUUAAGUUUUU
Molecule: long non-coding RNA, 948 nt
Filed under: Marmota monax (woodchuck)
Lineage: Eukaryota; Metazoa; Chordata; Mammalia; Rodentia; Sciuridae
Source: RNAcentral